AGCGAACGCUGGCGGCAGGCUUAACACAUGCAAGUCGAACGGUCCUUCGGGAUAGUGGCGGACGGGUGAGUAACACGUGGGAACGUACCCUUAGGUUCGGAACAACACAGGGAAACUUGUGCUAAUACCGGAUAAGCCCUUCAGGGGAAAGAUUUAUCGCCUUUGGAGCGGCCCGCGUCUGAUUAGCUUGUUGGUGAGGUAAUGGCCCACCAAGGCUACGAUCAGUAGCUGGCCUGGGAGGAUGGCCAGCCACACUGGGACUGAGACACGGCCCAGACUCCUACGGGAGGCAGCAGUGGGGAAUAUUGCGCAAUGGGCGAAAGCCUGACGCAGCCAUGCCGCGUGGAUGAUGAAGGUCUUAGGAUUGUAAAACCCUUUCACCGGGGACGAUAAUGACGGUACCCGGAGAAGAAGCCCCGGCUAACUUCGUGCCAGCAGCCGCGGUAA
RNAcentral lists this ribosomal RNA (447 nucleotides) under uncultured bacterium. RNAcentral describes it as "partial 16S ribosomal RNA". It matches the Rfam family "Bacterial small subunit ribosomal RNA", at positions 29 to 523 of the family's 1533-position model. The record is from RNAcentral.